GGCGCGUCUCUCCCGCUGCCCCCUCGCGCUGCGCCCUGGGAAAGCUCCCUUCAGGACUUGGCGUCACGGCCUACAAAGGUAGGCCUCAGGGCGCGUCUCUUACUGCCCCUCGCGGUGCGCCCUGGGUAAGCUCCCUUCAGGACUUGGCGUCACGGCCUACAAAGGUAGGCCUCAAUGACGUCCUCCACAGUGCGCUCUGGGUAAGCUCCCUUCAGGAUUUGGCGUCACAGCCUACAAAGGUAGGCCUCAGGGCGCGUCUCUUACUGCCCCUCGCGGUGCGCCCUGGGUAAGCUCCCUUCAGGACUUGGCAUCACGGCCUACAAAGGUAGGCCUCAGGGCGCGUCUCCUACUGCCCCUCGCGGUGCGCCCUGGGAAAGCUCCCUUCAGGACUUGGCGUCACGGCCUACAAAGGUAGGCCUCAGGGCGCGUCUCCUACUGCCCCUUACGCUGCGCUCUGGGAAAGCUCCCUUCAGGACUUGGUGUCACGGCCUACAAAGGUAGGCCUCAGGGCGCGUCUCUUACUGCCCCUCGCGGUGCGCCCUGGGUAAGCUCCCUUCAGGAUUUGGCGUCACAGCCUACAAAGGUAGGCCUCAAUGACAUCCUCCAGAGUGCUCUGGGUAAGCUCCCUUCAGGACUUGGCGUCACGGCCUACAAAGGUAGGUCUCAGGGCGCGUCUCCUACUGCCCCUCGCGCUGCGCUCUGGGAAAGCUCCUUUCAGGAUUUGGCGUCACAGCCUACAAAGGUAGGCCUCAAUGACAUCCUCCACAGAGUGCUCUGGGUAAGCUCCCUUCAGGACUUGGCGUCACGGCCUACAAAGGUAGGCCUCAGGGCGCGUCUCCUACUGCCCCUCGCGGUGCGCCCUGGGAAAGCUCCCUUCAGGACUUGGCGUCACGGCCUACAAAGGUAGGCUUCAGGGACGUCAUCCGCAGUGCGCUCUGAGAAAGCUCCCUUCAGGACUUGGCGUCACGGCCUACAAAGAUAGGCCUCAGACGGUGUCUCCUACUGCCCUCGAAGUGCGCCCUGGGUAAGC
Chiloscyllium plagiosum (whitespotted bambooshark) is the source of this 1030-nucleotide non-coding RNA. NCBI's taxonomy places the organism in Eukaryota, Metazoa, Chordata, Chondrichthyes, Orectolobiformes, Hemiscylliidae. The record is from RefSeq and is a predicted model, not a curated record.